AAACAUUGCGGCUCUCUUUCUCAGCAACAUGGGGGCUCAGUCAUGGAUAAUUAUGGUAGUGAUAUCAGCAACUUUCAUGCAAAUAUGCAGAGCUGUAGAUGAUAAACUCCUGAGUUUGCGAGGGCAACCAAGAGUCAGUUUCCAGCAAUACGCAGGAUAUGUAACUGUUGAUGAAAAUCAAGACAGAGCUCUUUUCUAUUACUUUGUCGAAGCAGAAUCAGACCCAGCUUCAAAGCCUCUUGUGCUCUGGCUAAAUGGGGGUACUAAUUUUCUUUUAUCUAGUAUUUUUCUGGUCAUCAUUUUCUGUGUUUUAUUUAUAAUAUUGUUUAAACGCUGUUGUAUUGUUAUGUUCCUUUUGCAGGGCCUGGCUGUUCCUCUGUUUAAACAUUACUAAGAUAUAAAGCUGGUUCAUGUACCUGUAUACUAGGACCCGGACGCCUGAAUUGACCAAUGAGCCCACGACAUCAAUUGUAGGUAUCUCUAGGUUUCGAAGAUCAUAGUUUACAACACUAAAAUGGAGUAAUAAAUCAAAACAAGUUAUUCUCAUCAUGUACAGAAAAACACAUAAUGGUAAAGCACGAUAAUUAAAUGCUCCAAGUCAAAGUGUUGGAAUCAAUCACUAAUUACCCACUGCAAAAAGUCCAUUUCGGAGUUCCGACAAGCUUAUUCUUGCGACUGAUAGAUGAUAUUUUUCAAACGCCUAUAUUCUCCUUUUUCCUUACCUGAUGCAAGCAUGUCAGCUAGAACAAGCUACAGAUAUACACGAAGAAGAAGGUAAAUGGGGAAGGCUUCUUCUCAAUGAUGCUCAGAUGAAAGCGAUGAGUGAGAUCAACGAGCUACAUCCCCCUACUUUCAGUUUGAGUGACUUCUGUAUUGAACUCACUCAGCAGGGAUAUAUAGAAUCUAAGGGAAUCCCUCAAUUUGUUGCUUCUUUAAUAAGAAAGUCAGAUAUCAAGAUCAAGCUUUGAUUUACCGUUGUUUCCUUUGAUGAUUUCAUGGCUGAUCAAGUAUAUGCUGUCGCAUGAAUACUGGGGUCUUCACCUCUCUCCCCCCCAAAACGUUUUUUCCGAGGAUGGCAUUUUGUCUCUUGGCAAGCUUAUGAAAUGCGUAAGUUGAUUCACCUGGCCGUUUUUCCUUGUUAUGUUUGCGAUGUCAUAUAUUUGACUUUGUGUAAGAGUGACUUUUCCCUUGAAACUUGGACAAUGUUUCGAUGGUUACCACGAUAGAAAUAGAAAUGAAGUUGCAAAGUUGUCUUUAUUAAAUAAUAUUUAUGCAAUUUUAUUUAUUAAAAAUAAAAUAAUAUUUUUAGUUUAACCUAUAUAUUCUUUAUUUAUAUUUAGAUUAAAUCUAUAAAUUCAUAAUAUACAGAUUAUUAAGAAUUCUAGCUUUUUUUGAAAAGUCACUUAAUUAAAUCUAUAUAAUUGAUGGAAUUGUUAGCAUAAUUGGUGGAGUUGUUGGCAUAACUUGUGGUAUAAUUGGUGUCAUGAUUUAUAGUAUUUGUCCUCUCACUCUUGCCUAUAAAUAAGCAAUGCUUCCAAGCUUAUUUUAUACACCAAGAUAGAGAGAACAUGAGAAGAGUGAAGAGAGACUAAUCCCACAAAGUUGUGAGGUGUGAGAAAGUAAGUGAGGUGUUUUCUCCUAGUAAUAGAGAGAUUAUUAGUUGUUCUCCUAUUAUUUGAGAGAGGUUGUAAUUCUCACAUUACUUAUUAAAAUCCUUCUAUACUUGCUCAUAGACGUAGCCUAAUUGGGUGAACCACGUAAAUUUUUAUGUCUCAUUUUCAUUUUAGCCUUUUAUCUUGUCGAGUUUGCAUGCCAGUAUCCUAACAUUUUUUGUGUUUGAUCUUAAUUAUUUCAAUAGUCUUAACUGUAAAUUGCUAUAUAAAUAACACAAUUGAGGCUUGAUUUGAAGCAUUGUAGCUCUCUAUAGUGUGUGUUUGUAUUAGAGGUAAAGAUUGAUGUUUGGGUGUGGAACCCACUAAAAAAACUAUAAAAAACAAGAAAAAUUAGUUUUUUGUGGUUGAGUUUUUGUAUAUAAAUAAAUUGUACCUAACCACAACCUCAAACACAAAAGCUAAAACAAACACAUCUAUAUCUCUCCCUGCCAAAAGCAUGGGAGCUCAUCAAUGGAUAGCUAUGGCAGUAUUAUGUGCAACCUUCUUUCAGAUAUGCAGAGCUGUACACUCCUCUGCAGAUGAUAAACUCCUGAGUUUGCCAGGGCAACCAAGAGUCAGUUUCCAGCAAUAUGCAGGAUAUGUAACCGUAGACGAAAAUCAAGACAGAGCUCUUUUCUAUUACUUUGUCGAAGC
RNAcentral lists this long non-coding RNA (2306 nucleotides) under Populus tremula. Its description in RNAcentral is "long non-coding RNA (PTRE_LNC001162)". Lineage: Eukaryota; Viridiplantae; Streptophyta; Magnoliopsida; Malpighiales; Salicaceae. The record is from RNAcentral.